Molecule: ribosomal RNA, 429 nt
Filed under: bacterium
Lineage: Bacteria
Description: partial 16S ribosomal RNA
Rfam family: Bacterial small subunit ribosomal RNA
Source: RNAcentral
UAGGGAAUCUUCCACAAUGGACGCAAGUCUGAUGGAGCAACGCCGCGUGAGUGAAGAAGGUUUUCGGAUCGUAACGCUCUGUUGUUGGUGAAGAAGGAUAGAGGCAGUAACUGGUCUUUAUUUGACGGUAAUCAACCCGAAAGUCACGUCUAACUACGUGCCAGCAGCCGCGGUAAUACGUAGGUGGCAAGCGUUGUCCGGAUUUAUUGGGCGUAAAGCGAGCGCAGGCGGAAUGAUAAGUCUGAUGUGAAAGCCCACGGCUCAACCGUGGAACUGCAUCGGAAACUGUCAUUCUUGAGUGCAGAAGAGGAGAGUGGAAUUCCAUGUGUAGCGGUGGAAUGCGUAGAUAUAUGGAAGAGAACCAGUGGCGAAGGCGGCUCUCUGGUCUGCAACUGACGCUGAGGCUCGAAAGCAUGGGUAGCGAACAGG